GUCGAGCGAAUGGAUUGAGAGCUUGCUCUCAAGAAGUUAGCGGCGGACGGGUGAGUAACACGUGGGUAACCUGCCCAUAAGACUGGGAUAACUCCGGGAAACCGGGGCUAAUACCGGAUAACAUUUUGAACCGCAUGGUUCGAAAUUGAAAGGCGGCUUCGGCUGUCACUUAUGGAUGGACCCGCGUCGCAUUAGCUAGUUGGUGAGGUAACGGCUCACCAAGGCAACGAUGCGUAGCCGACCUGAGAGGGUGAUCGGCCACACUGGGACUGAGACACGGCCCAGACUCCUACGGGAGGCAGCAGUAGGGAAUCUUCCGCAAUGGACGAAAGUCUGACGGAGCAACGCCGCGUGAGUGAUGAAGGCUUUCGGGUCGUAAAACUCUGUUGUUAGGGAAGAACAAGUGCUAGUUGAAUAAGCUGGCACCUUGACGGUACCUAACCAGAAAGCCACGGCUAACUACGUGCCAGCAGCCGCGGUAAUACGUAGGUGGCAAGCGUUAUCCGGAAUUAUUGGGCGUAAAGCGCGCGCAGGUGGUUUCUUAAGUCUGAUGUGAAAGCCCACGGCUCAACCGUGGAGGGUCAUUGGAAACUGGGAGACUUGAGUGC
This 608-nucleotide ribosomal RNA is filed under the name Bacillus sp. INBio2892A. Its description in RNAcentral is "bacterial SSU rRNA". It matches the Rfam family "Bacterial small subunit ribosomal RNA", at positions 61 to 649 of the family's 1533-position model. Lineage: Bacteria; Bacillati; Bacillota; Bacilli; Caryophanales; Bacillaceae. The record is from RNAcentral.